AAGAAUAAUGAGAAAGACGAUGAGGAAUUAAAAAGUUUCGGUGAUGUGAAAAACUCAGGUGAAGAAGACGAGUUGAAAAAUUUGGCCCUCUUUUUUGUCCUUUGAUGAUGAUGACAU
Arabidopsis thaliana (thale cress) is the source of this 117-nucleotide small nucleolar RNA. It matches the Rfam family "Small nucleolar RNA snoR9". Rfam says of the family: snoR9 is a member of the C/D class of snoRNA which contain the C (UGAUGA) and D (CUGA) box motifs. Most of the members of the box C/D family function in directing site-specific 2'-O-methylation of substrate RNAs. Lineage: Eukaryota; Viridiplantae; Streptophyta; Magnoliopsida; Brassicales; Brassicaceae. The record is from Rfam.